GCUUACUUUUCGUAGCAUUCCCGAUUAAUUAUAUUGAGUCACAUUCUGUGCAUCGUGUUUGGUAUUGCUUCUGGAUACUGGUAACUCUUAAGCUUUUUAGUUUCUUUCAUACUGUCCGAUGCUAUGGAGCAUCUGAAAUUAUCUCUUGUUCUGAAAAUUUCCCUUUUGUUCCUCUCGUACCUUAUCAGCAUUUUCCUAACGUGGCUUGUGACGGAUAAACCUGAAGCAAUUCUUAGUUUUAUACCAGUUUUCAUCUCUUUCACCGUCUACAUCUUCACUCUACUGAUCUUCGAAUUUGGCAAAAAGAUGUGGCAACUCUAUCUUCAAAAGAGCAAUAGACUUCAAUACGUCUUCAACGUCAAUAAGAGAUUUCAGAGGGCUGGAUUUCUCCAGACGACCCAAGCGAUUGAAAUUCCCCAAACGUCUGAAACAUUUGAAAUUCCUCAGACGACUGAAAGGACUGCAGUUUCUCCUACCACUGAAAUGAUUGAAAUGGCUGAAAUUUCCAGAACGCCUGAAAUGAUUGAAAUUUCUCGGACGGCUGAGAUUGAAAUGACGAAAAUUCCCGCGACGGCUGAAAUUAUGGAAACUCCCCAUGGAAUGCAAAUUUCCCAGACACGUAGAUCUCCCCAGAGGGUAAGAAAUCCAAGAAGAACGGAAUUCUCCACAGGAUUUGGAGGAGGAUUAGAAUUUCCUAAAGGAACAUUUAAUUUUUAAGACGAUGACUUUUUGUAUGUGCACGAUGACUUUACUUUUGUAAUUUUACGAUUUUUGACUUUUCCUAAAUGUAAUUAUUUUAAUUUUAUUGAUUACGAAAGAAAGAAGAAUCAGAAAAUGAAUCUGAGUGCAAAUUCUUUGUGAACAUAAAUACUUUAUCGUUUAUAAAUAUUUUAUUAAAUAUUUUCACUAAA
This is a long non-coding RNA of Stegodyphus dumicola, 911 nucleotides long. RefSeq lists it as uncharacterized. The record is from RefSeq and is a predicted model, not a curated record. NCBI's taxonomy places the organism in Eukaryota, Metazoa, Arthropoda, Arachnida, Araneae, Eresidae.